Molecule: ribosomal RNA, 460 nt
Filed under: uncultured bacterium
Lineage: Bacteria
Description: partial 16S ribosomal RNA
Rfam family: Bacterial small subunit ribosomal RNA
Source: RNAcentral
CCUACGGGAGGCAGCAGUGAGGAAUAUUGGUCAAUGGACGAGAGUCUGAACCAGCCAAGUAGCGUGAAGGAUGACUGCCCUAUGGGUUGUAAACUUCUUUUAUAUGGGAGUAAAAUGUUCCACGUGUGGGAUUUUGUAUGUACCAUAUGAAUAAGGAUCGGCUAACUCCGUGCCAGCAGCCGCGGUAAUACGGAGGAUCCGAGCGUUAUCCGGAUUUAUUGGGUUUAAAGGGAGCGUAGGUGGAUUGGUAAGUCAGUUGUGAAAGUUUGCGGCUCAACCGUAAAAUUGCAGUUGAAACUGGCAGUCUUGAGUACAGUAGAGGUGGGCGGAAUUCGUGGUGUAGCGGUGAAAUGCUUAGAUAUUACGAAGAACUCCGAUUGCGAAGGCAGCUUACUGGACUGCAACUGACACUGAGGCUCGAAAGUGUGGGUAUCAAACAGGAUUAGAUACCCUUGUAGUC